CGUGGGUUUUUUUGGUGAUAGACAAAUGUGUCCCAUUUCAAAAAUGGCAACAUCAUUUUUUUUUUACACACACUCUUGUGAGUAAGAAUUGAAACCACAGAGACAGAAGGUGUAGCUACUCGUUCGUUCUGGUGCUGGCCCUUAAUAAGUUUUUGCUGAGGGAAUCAAGGGAUCAGUUAAUGAAUUUGGGAACCAAAGGAAAGCUGUUCCCUGUCUUGUGUGAGAUGCUGGGUAUAUGAAAAUGUAUAACUCAGGGUCCCGCCCUGAGCAGCUCACUCUGCUGAUGGGAGCCAGACCCACAGAUAGAGAAUGACUCCAAUGUAACUGAGUCCUAAGAUCAUACAGUAUUCCUGCUUUAGUUCCUCCUGAAGCUCCUCCUGUCUCAGGUGCUCCCACACAGUAAAACCUAAUCCCUUCCUUCAAACGUUCACAGUCUGGUCCAGAGGACAAGCAUGAAGCGUGGAAAGCACAAGACCACGCGGAAAGCAAAACCGAAAUACAUACCCUGCGGAGAGGCUGCGCGCUGUGAUUUCAUCAUACAGACCCUGGCAUCAGACUGCUUGAGUUCACAAAGCUGUGUGACCUUAGACAAGACGCGUAGCCUCUCUGGGCUUUAAUCAUUCCAUGUGUAAAAUGAGGACACAGCUGAGCCCUAUCUUACAGGAUUGUUAGGAGGAGGAAUCGGGUUCAUAUCUGUAAAACACUCAGAAUAGUGCCAAGCUCGUACCAAGAAUCAUGAUAAAUAUAUGUGAAAUCAGUCUUUCCUGUAUUCUUUGAAUUUUAAGCUCUCAUUAAGAACUCUGUGUUUGGCUUUCUCUUUGCUCAAGAUUAUUCUCCCCAAGAUAAGACGCUUGACCAAAUGCAACUCCAAAGCUGUGGACGAAGGUUAAGAAGGGAAGGAGAGCCACUGACCCAAGAACAGACGUGCCGUCCCCGAACAGCCUGCCUCCCCUGGGCUUCCUUCCGUUCCAGGCUGCCUGUCUCCAACUUCAGCUCUUCUCCCAGCCUUUCCCGAACACGCGUGCCCCGGCCCACCUUCCCAGGACUGUGUGCCGGGUGACAGCCCGUCACUGUGCGCACCAAGUCAACAGACCCGCAUGACCAGCCCCUCCAGCACGCCAGCAGCACCUACGUGUUUAAUCUGGAUUCUGAUAGCUGCCUCAAUUUCAGUAUCUCCCGUGGGCGCCGCAUACAAACAGUCCUCCGUGGCCACUGGCAGAAAUUCUUAGAAAAACAAUCCUUCUGGUCGUUGGAGUCACAACUACUACCACUUUCGCUCCCUGCCUCCCCGUCACCGAAGAGGCUGUUUUGACUCAGACCACAGGGGCCCGUGUGGACCACAUGCAGUCCGAGUGUGCGGGGGACAAUGGGCGCUCCUUUGCUGGCCGCCGGUGUCAUUUCAGACCCUGCUGGACAGAUGGGCUCCGUUCCGAGUGGGGAAGAACCACGCCUGGCAGAGGACAGUUUCGACAGGGCCAUCUCCUCGCCCACACAA
Long non-coding RNA from Enhydra lutris kenyoni (northern sea otter), 1495 nucleotides. RefSeq lists it as uncharacterized. Lineage: Eukaryota; Metazoa; Chordata; Mammalia; Carnivora; Mustelidae. The record is from RefSeq and is a predicted model, not a curated record. The transcript is spliced from 3 exons.